Molecule: long non-coding RNA, 417 nt
Filed under: Oryza sativa Indica Group (long-grained rice)
Lineage: Eukaryota; Viridiplantae; Streptophyta; Magnoliopsida; Poales; Poaceae
Description: lncRNA OsLiXu_Ung0008900
Source: RNAcentral
ACGGCGGGCUUGGCCUCCGAUCGCUUGGAUCAAACACCUCUCCUCCCUCACUCCCUCGGCUUCUUCUCUCCCAACAACCAGAGGACGCAGGGUGGCAGAUAUGGCCUGGUCAGAUCUAGCGGCAGUGGAUCCACCGGUGGUAGGAGUGGCGACAGUGACUGCGGCGAGCUCAGGCAGUGGCAGGCUCGUCUUGCGACCGCGCGGAUCCCGCCACCUCUCCUCCCUCACUCCCUUGGCUUCUUCUCUCCCAAUGGCCACUGGGCGCAGGGUGGCGGAUCCAGCCUGGUCGGAUCCACCAGCGAGGAGGCAGUGGAGCUUGAGAAUGAGGAGGCACGUGGAGAACAUGACAGUGAAGCCAGAUCUCAGGGGACGAUACGGCAGCGGACCUCGUGGAGUGGGAGCUUAGCUGGUGGGUGA